GCGCAGCAGGCGCGAAAACUUUACAAUGUGCGAAAGCACGAUAAGGGAACUCUGAGUGCCUCCUAAGGAGGCUGUUCAGGUGUCUAAAAGCACCUGAAGGAAGGGCUGGGUAAGACCGGUGCCAGCCGCCGCGGUAACACCGGCAGCCCAAGUAGUAGCCACGUUUAUUGGGUCUAAAGCGUCCGUAGCCGGCUGGGUAAGUUCCUUGGGAAAUUUGGCUGCUUAACAGUCAAGCUUUCAGGGAAUACUGCUCGGCUUGGGACCGGGAGAGGUCAGAGGUACUCCAGGGGUAGGGGUGAAAUCCAUUAAUCCUUGGGGGACCACCGGUAGCGAAGGCGUCUGACCAGACCGGGUCCGACGGUGAGGGACGAAGGCUAGGGGCGCGAACCGGAUUAGAUACCC
Molecule: ribosomal RNA, 402 nt
Filed under: uncultured microorganism
Description: bacterial SSU rRNA
Rfam family: Archaeal small subunit ribosomal RNA
Source: RNAcentral